This 180-nucleotide ribosomal RNA is filed under the name uncultured bacterium. Its description in RNAcentral is "partial 16S ribosomal RNA". It matches the Rfam family "Bacterial small subunit ribosomal RNA", at positions 521 to 700 of the family's 1533-position model. The record is from RNAcentral.
UAAGACAGAGGGGGCAAGCGUUGCUCGGAAUUACUGGGCGUAAAGGGCGCGUAGGCGGGAUGGCAAGUCGGUCGUGAAAUCCCUCGGCUCAACUGAGGAUCGUCGAUCGAUACUGCCGUUCUUGAGGAUUGCAGAGGAGACUGGAAUUCCCGGUGUAGCGGUGAAAUGUGUAGAGAUCGG